Chrysemys picta bellii (western painted turtle) is the source of this 6118-nucleotide non-coding RNA. NCBI's taxonomy places the organism in Eukaryota, Metazoa, Chordata, Testudines, Emydidae. The record is from RefSeq and is a predicted model, not a curated record.
UCCCCUUUAAGUUUCCAUAGAGAGGCCUCUCAGUGUCACAUGAUGGACAUGAUAUAAUGAAACAACAUUGUAGCGAGGAAAGCAUUUAGGGGAGCCCAGAGCUACAUAAACAGUGACUGGGGAGGGGGCAGAGAAGGAAACUACGGGGCAUCCUUCUGCACACAGGCACCCACCCACCUCCAUCCUGUAGAGAGAGGGGACAUGGAAAAGAGAGGAGGGGUCCCUCUGUUCCCCUCCCACCCCUCUCGGGCCAGGAGGAAGAACAACUUUUAAUCAGCACAGAUGGGAUUGCACCUGUCUCCAGCGUCCCCACCAGCCAAAGAAAGAGGAAAUUACAUGGAAGAACAGAGCUGGAAACUACCUGGGUUUUUUGUUUUUUUUUGGUUUUGUUUUUCUUCCACUUUGCUGGGGGGUCGCGGUGCGGGGAAGGCGAGAAAGCUUUGCCAGCACAUGGAUCGUCUUAAGAAAGAAAACUGAGACUGACACACACUGAGAGAAACAGCAUAAUCAAAAAUUUGAAACAUGAGACUGUGAGCUAAGACAACUGGAAGCAGCGGGCAUGGUGGAAAAAGGAGGAUUUUCCUGAAUGUAUCUUUAACUAUUCAGAAGACAUAUUUGAUCAUGUGAAUGUGGCUAGCAGAAGAGAGGUGGCUUUAGUUCAGGUUGCAUUCUGGAUUUGUUUUGUGCCUGCAAGGAGCUGAAUUCCUGAUCGCUGGAGAAGAUCUAACCAUAUUUGCACUGGUUCUACUCAUGACAGUACAGUGGGGCAGGUAACUGCCAAGAAGGAACUGGGAGGCUCUGACUUUUCCAAGGCUCAGGAUUAUGCAAUGAAGAAGAAUAUUUUAGAAGCUAAAGAGAGAGGUCACAACACCCUGGUCAGAAGGUGGCGAAACUCAGAUACAGAGACAAUAAAGGCCAAAUCUUUCUCCCACCAAAGUCAGUGAGAAGGUUUCCAACAGCAUUAAUAGGCACAGAUAUGUGUGGUAGGUGCUGCAGAGUAAAUCAGUGGCUAAUUUGGGAUUCGAACUCAAGAUUUCCUGGCUUCCAUGCUCAGACCAUGACAUGCUGACUUUGAUCAUGUAGCAUUCAUUUCAAAUGUAGUUUCUGUUAUAGGCGGGGCCAUAUUUGGCUACUAGUGAAAACACUGAAAUUAACCCACCUAAAGUGUCUGAGUAAAGCAGAAAAUAUUCUGCAAGAAAGGGUAUUUUACUCAAUAUUCAACAGCCAUCUCUCCCAUCUCUAACCUCAUUGUAUUUACUGUGUGGAACAUCACAUUAUACUAAUUUAAUCAGAUCUAAAACUUGCAUGGUGGGUGUUAGCAUCAGUGAGCAUUAUUGUAUUAGGGUGUCUGUUUAAUUAAUAUGAUUUAUUUUGUGCAGCAGCAUUAGUCAAAUACACUAGUCAGAUAUUAAGAUGCUGGAUAACAAUAACCAAUAGCAUUUAUAGUUAUAUGCAUGUCGAGACAGGGGUAAUGAAAUCUUGUGCUUCAAGACUUCCUCUACUUGGUCUAGGGGAUAAGAAGGAAUCUUUGUCCCAUGUACAGCAUUGAACAGAAAGGUAUUUUCCACCUCCCUCUGUUUAUUACAGGAUUACAGAUUUGAUGGACCGUUGAUGUGAUAAGAAUUUAAGAAUUGCCAUACUGGGUCAGACCAAAGGUCCAUCUAGCCCAGUAUCCUGUCUUCCAACAGUGGUCAAUGCCAGGUGCUUCAGAGGGAAUGAACAGAACAGGUCCAACCUUGUGAGAAUAUCCUGAGUGUGCCAAAAGGAGAGCAUAUUGCACGGGGGGGAAACCUGUCUACAAAUUGCUACGAACUGAAAGGUAAAUAGUUUGUUAUUCUUAAGAAUCAGAAGAGCAUAGCCUCUGUGUGGAUUUUGUUUCCAAAUAGAAAGUAGAUAAUCUGAAUAUGUCUGGUGUACCUUGUGUUUGACACUGUGCUGCAUAGUGAGAGGGGAAGCAUAUGACUUUUAAAAAUUGGGCUUGUGCCCUUUCUUUGCUUCUCUGAGUACUGAAGAACAAUUGAAAGGGUUUGGGGUUUUUUUUUAAAGGCAUUUUUCUGAUUUUUUUUCUUUGCCUCCCUUUUGAGUUAUCACACCUCAGAGAAGGGACGGGAGUGUUGGAAUCUUUUAAUGAAGAGAUCCUUUCUCCAAAGUGUUUGGCAGCCAUUGGACUUAAAUAGAUGUUAAUAAAAACAAAUAUAUUGAAACAUCUCAAUAAAAUCUCUCCUGCUCUCUUACUUGUUUAACAUCACAACAGACUGAAAGGUAUCAUUUUACUAGCUCUACAAUCAUAGAGUCUGCCGAAAUAGUCAUGACCUGAAUUUCUAAUAAUAAAAAAUUAAGAAAAAAUAUGAACUUUUUUUCUUAGGGGAAAAAAAACCUUGCAGGCCUUCCUUAUCCACCAUAAAAGCCUCACAAAAACAGUGCACAAGGGCAUUUUUUUCCUUUGCGGGUCUACUUUAACUAUCUCUGGCAGAAAAAUUAGGAUGGCUAUUUAUUUAGCAGUGUUAGUGAACCUAGCCCGAUAGGUAAUGGAGAGGUGCCAAACAAUCAAGAGUCCCUGCUUUGAGUUUACAGAGUAAAGGAGGCACUAGUGGGUGCAAAACAGUCCACUGCCCAGUGAGUGCGGUUCUUGAGUGUUUCAUGACAUGGCUAUCUGUUUUAGCACUGGAGACCCACCAAACUUUACAUAUCAACAGCAUUUUGUUUAAGGAAGUUUUUUAAAAUAAAGAGGAAUCAGAUUUUGAAAUGGCCAUUGGUUUGUGCCCAGUCCCAAACAGGAGACCGCAGAAUAUUUAUGGGAGGUGUCAGUGAGAAUUUUAUUGGUGCAGUAAUUAAGAGAUGGGUAAGGUACAAAUGAAGUAACAAAUUGGCUUUUUAUCUCUGUAUUGAGCACUGUUGUGAAGAAUUGUUUUACUCUUGAGCCUUAGGAAGCAUUGGAAAGGAACUGCCACUGUUUUUUCAGGGAAUCUUACAGGAUCUCCGGUACCCCACAUUUGCCACUCCCACUCUAACAACACUUGUCUUAGUGACCCUCUGUCCAGCCAAGCAGUGCUAAUUACAGGGCCGUCCAGAAACCACCAGCACGGCUCCUUCAGCUUACCAGAGAGUGCAUUUGAAAGCAAAGUGGUCUGAUACUGUGACAAUAUGUGUGGUAUGAGAACCUAGACAGAUAGUGAUACAAGGUAAGAGGACCAGGAAGCCCAUGGCACCUUUACUGCUCCAGUACCCCUUCCUGGUUCUUGCAGUGACUUGUUGUAUGGCCUUGUUAUACUACUUCACCAUUCUCUGUCUCAUUUUUCCCCAGUUAUAAAACAAAAAGAAUAAUACUUAGUUCACAAGAGUGUUGCAGAGCUUAAUGCUUCUACGGAGUUAUGGAAGUAGGAAAUGUUAUUUCUUGCAAUAAUACUUGUGGUUGUAAUGUUUGAAUUUGGAUCUCAGUGCAAACCAUCUUUUUUUCCCCUUCAGAAUGUAUAUGGGUUUUCAGUAACACAUAAUCCAUUUGUUAAGGACUCUGUUUUGAAGACAGCUAAAUCAAUGUUUUACUACCUAGAACCUGCUGUAAUAAAUAUGCCUCUUUUUUUUUUAGGGUCUCUACUUUCCUCAUUAGGCUUCAGAAAACAUGACCCAGAGUAAAUCCAAGUCAGCUUGUCUCUCAAGAGGACUCUUGUUAGUGCCCAAUGAUACCCUCUGCUUACACAGCGAUACUUCUACCAGGUUAUAUGGGGAUGGGAGCCAAUGUACAGGCCAGGGUCAGCUGCACCAGUGACCCAUGCCUCAGACAAGUCCUCUGAGAUCCAUGGGUUGUGUGCCAAACCAGCUACUUCGUUCACAAUUGGAUGUGCAGACUCCACAUUAUCCCCAGUUGAAAGAGCAAUGGCAAACUCUCCGACUUUCCAGUCACCAGUGUGAAUUAUUCACGGGUUGGGGACCAGGGGGUCCAAAGAGGAGCAGUAAACAUGGUCUAAAAUCCUGUAUCUCCACUUCACACCCAAAUAAACCCUCCCCGUUUUAUAUUCAAAACACAGAGGCAACAGCUAAAAUCGUUACAUUCUGUAUGUGACCACUGGGGGGAAAGAGGAUUAUGAAGCUGCAUUUCAGCUCACACCACAAACGAGAAUAAAAGCUCAAUCAGCUUUAGAUGCUUUCUGAAUGCUGAGGUUGAGCCUUGAUGUCAGUAACGGAUUGUUCCAGAAACGCACAGAGAAAAUUGUACACAUUGGAGACUAAUUUUCAUUUGUGCUGCAUCCCCGCAGCUCCCUUUGAUGUCAGUUUGAAUAAUAUUUUGAAUAAUUAGCAGCUUUUACAAUCAGCUUUUGGGUUACAUAUUCUGAGACUCUUUUGCAGUCCUGAAAUCCAUAUGCCCUGUGUUUACAUAACAGGUACAUUGGAAGUCUGAUUAGGGGAAAACCUCGGCCCAUAAUGUAGGGCUGUUUUUUGGAAACAAGGUUUUGCUGGUUCCUAAACAUUUCUCAGACUCCUUAACUGAUAACUGUUUUGUGCACUUACAUGUAGGACAUGAGAGGCAAGGAGAUUGUACGAGUCUAGAAAUUUUUAACAUGGUUUGUCAUGUCAUUCUAAUCCCCCAAAAUGACUUUUAGCUUUGUUACCAAAACACUUUUUUCUUUCUGACUAUUCAUAUAGACCCAAACCCUGAUCUCCCACAGCAAGCUGUGGAGGUCUUGAUUGCUUCUUGCUGUUUACCCUAAUUAACUUAUGUAACCACCUGUAAAAUAGUAGAAUUGUUCAAGUAGCAAAAACAAAGGAAAGUCUUAGGACCCAACCCCGGAAGUUUUGCUUUAAGUUAGGACUAAGUAAAACCUGAGUAGUGAAACCCUGAUUUGGCCCAUUGGCUUUCAUGGCAAUUGAAGAUGCUUAGUUCAUUGUGAAAUGAAACUCUCAUCCUUACUCUAGUUGCAUUCCCAGUGACUUGCCUGAGGAGUGGCUGUACGAUUUGGCCCUGACUGAGUGAAAUUGUUUCACUUGCCACUGUGAAUUUUAUUGCCAUGAUUUAUUUCUUAUUUUAAAGAAAGACUAAGCUUUGUCUCGGUUUUCUCAGACAUACCUCACCAGCAACAGAUACGUCAUCUUGGUGAGAGGUAAGGUGGCUGGGUGGGUGCCUCACCCCAUGAAUCAUAAAAGUCUUGCCCCCACAUUAAGAAUAGAAUGUUCCCCUGUAAAUGCUCACUUACCCUAGCCAAUUAAAAAUACUGCCUCACACUUGUGUUCUGACUGGAGGAAAAAGAACAACAGUUCACACCGUUGAUGAGCUUUCUUAUUAGUCAGAGGGUAUUAAGCAAGUGGUGGUGAAAGUGAUGGGAAUGGAUGGCUCAGGGAACUGAUGAAGGGAUAUGGAACCUUUUUACCUCUAGUGGUUUGAAUCCAAACCAAAUACGCAGUUACUGAGAAUUGUUAGUGUCAGAAGGUUUUUGUGAAAUCACUCCAUGGUCUCAGUUUGUGUCAUAGUGGACAGAUUGGCAUCACAGAACAAACACUCCACUUAACAUUAAUUGGUAUCUCAGUGGAGGGCCAUGUUCAUAAUGACCCCGGAGACUGAGGGCUUGUCUACACUUACCGGAGGAUCGACGAGUGGUGAUCUAUGCAUCAGCAGUGGAUUUAGCAUGUCUACUGAAGACCUACUACAUCGACUGCAGAUCACUCUCCCGACAGCUCCUGUACUCCACCGGAUCGAGAAGAGUAGGGGGAGUCAACAGGAGGGCGUCUCUCGUCAACAUCGCAUAGUGUGGACCCCGCAGUAAGUAGAUCUAAGUUAUGUCGAUUUUAGUUAUGCUAUUCACGUAACUCAAAUUGCGUAGCUUAGAUUGAAUUUCCACUGUAGUGUAGACAAUGCCUAAGAGCAUAGGGAUUCUGCCUGCAGGUCAAGGAUGAGCUAUACUGGUGGGGCAUUGUGUGGAAAACUGACACUACCACUUCCUAUGUUGUAUCUGUUCUGUGAAUAGAGGACUUCUCCAGGGUUGUCAAUCUGACAUCUUUCACCAGUUCCACAUUUCAAACAAAAUUGAAGUAAAAAAAAAAGUUAAAAUAAUUUGAACAAUUUGUCUGACAUAAAGUACUUACAGGCUAUUGUCUGAAAAUUAUAGGCUGACUUGUUCUUUCACAA